GCUGAAGAGCUGAAGAGAAUCUUGCUGAAGAAUACGAUUUCAAUCAUAGUUCUUGCUGAAGAACACUAUUUUGUUGGACUAGGGUUUAUCAGGUUUUGCUGAGAGUAAAUUAAUAUUAUGCAGACACCAAAAUCAAGGUAGUGGACAUUAGAGGCAGCACAGUGAACUCUGCAGCAUUGCUGGUACUCUUUGUGAAGUUAGUCCUCUACAGGU
Long non-coding RNA from Solanum stenotomum, 213 nucleotides. RefSeq lists it as uncharacterized. The transcript is spliced from 3 exons. The record is from RefSeq and is a predicted model, not a curated record. Lineage: Eukaryota; Viridiplantae; Streptophyta; Magnoliopsida; Solanales; Solanaceae.